UAAGCUUGCUCUUUCGCUGACGAGUGGCGCACGGGUGCGUAACGCGUAUACAACCUACCUUCAAGCGGGGGAUAGCCCAUGGAAACGUGGAUUAAUACCUCAUGGUAUAUAGACUUCACCUGGAGACUAUAUUAAACAUUUAUGGCUUGAAGAUGGGUAUGCGUCCUAUUAGCUAGAUGGAGUGGUAACGGCACCCCAUGGCAACGAUAGGUAGGGGUCCUGAGAGGGAGAUCCCCCACACUGGUACUGAGACACGGACCAGACUCCUACGGGAGGCAGCAGUGAGGAAUAUUGGACAAUGGAGGCAACUCUGAUCCAGCCAUGCCGCGUGCAGGAAGACUGCCCUAUGGGUUGUAAACUGCUUUUAUACAGGAAGAAACCUCUCCACGUGUGGGGAGCUGACGGUACUGUAUGAAUAAGGAUCGGCUAACUCCGUGCCAGCAGCCGCGGUAAUACGGAGGAUCCAAGCGUUAUCCGGAAUCAUUGGGUUUAAAGGGUCCGUAGGCGGGUCUAUAAGUCAGUGGUGAAAGUCUGUCGCUCAACGAUAGAAUUGCCAUUGAUACUGUAGAUCUUGAAUUAUUAUGAAGUGGUUGGAAUGAGUAGUGUAGCGGUGAAAUGCAUAGAUAUUACUCACAAC
RNAcentral lists this ribosomal RNA (637 nucleotides) under Christiangramia sp. RNAcentral describes it as "bacterial SSU rRNA". It matches the Rfam family "Bacterial small subunit ribosomal RNA", at positions 70 to 707 of the family's 1533-position model. The record is from RNAcentral. Lineage: Bacteria; Pseudomonadati; Bacteroidota; Flavobacteriia; Flavobacteriales; Flavobacteriaceae.